GUCUGGAUAUAUCUGUAGAAUCCUGGGUAAAAUGAAAUUCGGUGACCUAGUCCAGUCACCUUUCAAAUUCCAUUAAAGCACACUGGCAUUUUAAAGUUGUGGAUUAACGCUUCCUAGAUCAUGCCUAUAGCUCAGCAUGUGAGUUCCAUCAAGCUGGAAAAGGUAGGAAAAAUCAUCAGAUUGCAAGAGUCAUUUCCUAAACAGAAGUGCAACAGAACAGGACCCCACCCCCUGUCCCAGAUGUCCUCCGCACCCUGUCCUGCUGGAAGGGGUGUGAAUGACUAGGAGAAAACAAGGUAGAAUCCCAGAUUCUCGAUCACAGCCUCUCAGCCCCCUGCUUCUGCCCCCGACUUCUCCAAAGGCCAGAGCGGCUGCAGGAACUGCCCACCCUGCCAGAGGGGCGCCUCCUAGAGCCAGGACAGGGGACAGCAUCGUGGGCAUCUCCAGCCGGCCGGCGCCACAGAAGCCACUGUUCAACCUCCGUCAUCGAGAUCCACAAUAUUUUAAGGCCAUUUGCUCACAUACUGCCUUUAAUGGUCUCCUACUCCUGAGGGCAAAUCAAGUAUAUUUUCUUGUCCUGGGACGCUGUGAAGAAGCCCCUCACACCUCCCACCCCGGCACACAGAAGGUGGGCGAAGUUGCAAGACGCCAGAGAAGGAGACGCACAGACAGCAGCCCGGCGGCCUGAGGUCAGGCCGGGGGUCGGACGACAGCACGGGGUUGACGUGUUGAUGGCAGCUGCACGGGGCCAAGGUCCUUACGCUUCACACGCCCACGGAAGUCAUACAGCGGAAGAAAGGGGAUCCCGCACACAGUGAAGGGGAAAGUGUGGUCUCCAGAAAAUUCCACCUUCCUGUGACCCAAAUUCUCCACCAAGUGAUGACAUUCUGGGCUGUGACAAAGGAGCUUGGACUGAACGAAGAAAAAGGUAGCUGGCUCUUCUGGAAGGAAAGGCCAGGGAGGGGUGAGACCAGGACAGCCAGCACGAAGCGACUCAGGCGCCCGCGGCCUCUCUCCGAAUGUGUGGGACGGAGACAGGCGGCAGAGGCAUUUCACCAGCAGUGCAGGCUUCCACCUUCCCAGGGCCACGUGAUCCUGGUGAAACUUUCCAGUUUCAAAGUGACCACCGCCCCCCCCCCCCCCACCGUGCCUUUGUCUGGUCUACACUUUUCUUCUUUAAUGGGAAGAAUGGAAGAAAUAUCAGAACAAAUAGAACUUAGAAAGUUCUAAAACCUUUUCUUGAAACUUACUGCGUGCCACCAAUAACCCUAAAUUGGAAAAACUCAGUAAUGAGGGUCCUUUUUAAUUACCAGCCUUGAAUCUAACAGCAGCCUUUCGUGCAUUCAAUUGCUCAUUGUCAAUAGAAUCAUCUUUCAGAGUGUUUCAUCUAUCAACAGACAUUUGAUGAUCUAUAUUGAAUAAUAUUUUACUCUGUAUAUUUAAAAUAUACUUUCAGGGCUUCCCUGGUGGCGUAGUGGUUGGGAGUCCGCCUGCUG
Long non-coding RNA from Aethalodelphis obliquidens (Pacific white-sided dolphin), 1496 nucleotides. RefSeq lists it as uncharacterized. The record is from RefSeq and is a predicted model, not a curated record. The transcript is spliced from 3 exons. NCBI's taxonomy places the organism in Eukaryota, Metazoa, Chordata, Mammalia, Artiodactyla, Delphinidae.